AGCAGCCGCGGUAAUUCCAGCUCCAAUAGCGUAUAUUAAAGUUGUUGCAGUUAAAAAGCUCGUAGUUGAAUUUCGGGGUUAGUAGGCUGGUCGUGCCACUGGUAUGUACUGGUCUUACUGAUUUCUCCUUUCUGAAGAACUGUAAUGCCAUUAAUUUGGUGUUGCAGGGAAUCAGGACUGUUACUUUGAAAAAAUUAGAGUGUUUAAAGCAGGCUAACGCUUGAAUACAUUAGCAUGGAAUAAUGAAAUAGGACGUUCGAUCCUAUUUUGUUGGUUUCUAGGAUUGACGUAAUGAUUAAUAGGGAUAGUUGGGGGCAUUAGUAUUCAAUUGUCCGAGGUGAAAUUCUUGGAUUUAUUGAAGACUAACUACUGCGAAAGCAUUUGCCAAGGAUGUUUUCAUUAAUCAAGAACGAAAGUUAGGGGAUCGAAGACGAUCAGAUACCGUCGUAGUCUUAACCAUAAACUAUGCCGACUAGGGAUCGGAUGAUGUUAAUUUUUAAUGACUCAUUCGGCGCCUUAC
This 520-nucleotide ribosomal RNA is filed under the name uncultured Glomus. RNAcentral describes it as "SSU rRNA". It matches the Rfam family "Eukaryotic small subunit ribosomal RNA", at positions 569 to 1091 of the family's 1831-position model. Lineage: Eukaryota; Fungi; Glomeromycota; Glomeromycetes; Glomerales; Glomeraceae. The record is from RNAcentral.